GACGUAGGAUGCAAGCGUUGUCCGGAUUUAUUGGGCGUAAAGAGUUCGUAGGCGGUUCGUUAAGUCUGGUGUUAAAGACCGGGGCUCAACCUCGGAGGUGCACUGGAUACUGGCGGACUGGAGUGCAGUAGAGGCAAGCGGAAUUCCCAGUGUAGCGGUGAAAUGCGUAGAUAUUGGGAAGAACACCGGUGGCGCAAGCGGCUUGCUGGGCUGUAACUGACGCUGAGGAACGAAAGCUAGGGGAG
RNAcentral lists this ribosomal RNA (245 nucleotides) under uncultured bacterium. RNAcentral's name for it is "partial 16S ribosomal RNA". It matches the Rfam family "Bacterial small subunit ribosomal RNA", at positions 524 to 768 of the family's 1533-position model. The record is from RNAcentral.